Vidua chalybeata is the source of this 699-nucleotide long non-coding RNA. RefSeq lists it as uncharacterized. The record is from RefSeq and is a predicted model, not a curated record. NCBI's taxonomy places the organism in Eukaryota, Metazoa, Chordata, Aves, Passeriformes, Viduidae. The transcript is spliced from 2 exons.
GAUAACCACAUUCUCUUCCCCUUUGUCCACACAUUUUUCCCCUGCUAAGAGGUCAAGCCUUGCAGAAGAAAAAUUGGCACAUGAAGCAUCCCAUUGACCUUUCCACCAAACAAAACUCCCUCGUACACUUAAUCUGUUAUAUUGAUGGGCAGUCAUGGUUGCAAGUAGAACAUGCCCAUCAUUUCUUCUUUCUUCCUGGCAGACAGAAUGAAUCAUAUUGCUGGGAUAAUGAACCACUUAAUGACUUGUGUGUUGAUUUAUCAGAUGGUGCUGGAGAGGCCAGUUUAAGAGUGUAAAGCCAUAAGUCACAGUGUUGCUGCACAUGGCCCAUGAGGCUGCUUGGCUCCCUUCUGUGAAUUGCUGGGUUAAUCAAGUCAUCAUUAGGGUGUGAAAGCAGUGAAGUGCCCCCUUUUCAUUCUGGUUGGCAUUUCUUCAAAAUAAGAAUCUAUUUUUCUUUCAGGUUUCGAAACAGUUCAACGUGAUAAAAUUGGCACUUUUGACUUUCAUAGUGAGGAAGUUUCAUCCUGGGCUAAAGAAAUACAUUAGUAGUGAGCACAGGGAAACCUUCCUGGUGUGUUCUGGACAGUGUUCUGGCACUACCUUUGUCUUCCUUGGAUUCUCAGAGCUCUUAGAUUUCCUGGCAAAUGAAAUAUUUUAGCCUAACAAAUUUAAAAACAUGAAACUAGUCCAUGUGUUGUA